This 465-nucleotide ribosomal RNA is filed under the name Vreelandella stevensii. RNAcentral's name for it is "partial 16S ribosomal RNA". It matches the Rfam family "Bacterial small subunit ribosomal RNA", at positions 338 to 795 of the family's 1533-position model. Lineage: Bacteria; Pseudomonadati; Pseudomonadota; Gammaproteobacteria; Oceanospirillales; Halomonadaceae. The record is from RNAcentral.
CCUACGGGGGGCUGCAGUGGGGAAUAUUGGACAAUGGGGGCAACCCUGAUCCAGCCAUGCCGCGUGUGUGAAGAAGGCCCUCGGGUUGUAAAGCACUUUCAGUGAGGAAGAACGCCUGGUGGUUAAUACCCAUCAGGAAAGACAUCACUCACAGAAGAAGCACCGGCUAACUCCGUGCCAGCAGCCGCGGUAAUACGGAGGGUGCGAGCGUUAAUCGGAAUUACUGGGCGUAAAGCGCGCGUAGGUGGCUUGAUAAGCCGGUUGUGAAAGCCCCGGGCUCAACCUGGGAACGGCAUCCGGAACUGUCAAGCUAGAGUGCAGGAGAGGAAGGUAGAAUUCCCGGUGUAGCGGUGAAAUGCGUAGAGAUCGGGAGGAAUUCCAGUGGCGAAGGCGGCCUUCUGGACUGACACUGACACUGAGGUGCGAAAGCGUGGGUAGCAAACAGGAUUAGAUACCCCGGUAGUC